CUGCUCACCUUGGCAGCACAUAUACGAAAACUGAGAUAAUACAUAGAUUAAGUAUGGCCCCUGUACAAUUAUGACACACACAUUUGUGAAGCAUUGCUUAUUUUC
Molecule: small nuclear RNA, 105 nt
Organism: Sorex fumeus (smoky shrew)
Lineage: Eukaryota; Metazoa; Chordata; Mammalia; Eulipotyphla; Soricidae
Source: RefSeq, a predicted model, not a curated record